RNAcentral lists this unclassified non-coding RNA (274 nucleotides) under Hevea brasiliensis (rubber tree). The record is from RNAcentral. Lineage: Eukaryota; Viridiplantae; Streptophyta; Magnoliopsida; Malpighiales; Euphorbiaceae.
GGAACAAGGAUGAUGAUAGAGAGAGAGCAGAACCAGGUGUAACCGACGGUGUAACGAACAUAACGAGGUACGUCUGGUCCGGCGAAGUACCAAAACGUUACUCCCACCAUUCCGAUGGUGAAGGGUAACGAUAUGAGGUAAAACACCCACAUUUCUGAUGAUCUCCGUAGCGCUUUCCUUUUUUUAUUCGCCGGCGUUACAAGGAAAGCGAUCGGAAGAAAUGUUACCUACGUGCCCUUUGCGUGGAGAAAGAAAUACACCGAGACCGAUUCAU